RNAcentral lists this long non-coding RNA (1362 nucleotides) under Homo sapiens (human). RNAcentral's name for it is "PREDICTED lncRNA (TCONS_00070663)". The record is from RNAcentral. Lineage: Eukaryota; Metazoa; Chordata; Mammalia; Primates; Hominidae.
GCAACUUAACACCUCUUGAGUAGAAAAUUUGAGACUCUUCUAAAUGCUGGAAACAAUAGAUGUUUGGUUUUUAGUAAAAAGAGAAAAAAGAAAAAAAAAACUGGGUGGGGCACGGGAGAAGAAUUCAGUGCCAAAUAACCUUCAGCAAUGCUUAGUGGUAAUUAGAGCAGACAGACAUUGUAUUAAAGGUAGUGGAAGAAUAUUUUCUCCUCUAUAUUAUUAAAAAUCUGUAAGAUUGCUUCUUUCAAAACAAAAUUAAAAUUAAAAUCCAUGUUUAUCAUCAUUUUUCUCAGGAGAAAAAGUUGUUCUCUUCUACCAAAUUUUCCUGCCAUCAAAUGCUCAUUGAGUGACAAUAGAGAAAGCACCAUCAUCCUGAAGCAUCAGAUUGGGAGAAAAGUCCGCUCUCGAGAGCAUCAACUAUGUAGAAAGGGGACCAACCUAUGUUAUAUCUGCCUUAGUGCAUGGGCUGCUGGUCAAUGCUAACAGCUGGCUCUCAGGGAAAAAAGAAAAACCAUCUGUGGCAUCUGCCAAUUUCUGUGGUGUAAAUACUCUGAGCUCUGCCAAUUUCAAGCCAUCCAUCUGACAUUGCUGAACCCAAAGUUGGCAAGGGAUGUGCACAAUUGCCUUUUGCAAGCAAGCUUCUGCAAAAGACUUGAGACAGCUCACAAUGAAGUACUCUGUAUUAGGCAGGGUAAUAUUGAUUGCAAGUGACAGAAACCCAAUCAGAAACUCACUGGAGUCAUGAGGAACACUUAUUGGCUCAGAGUAAAGGCAAAAUAGACCUUCAGAGAAAUAAAGUCUGGGAAAUUGACUAGAUCCUCACUGAAAGAACUACUAAAGGAUGUACUUAUGGAAGAAGAAAAUUACAAAGUGAAAGAACUGGGAUGCAAGAAGUAAUGGUGAGCAUGGAAUUUGGCAAAGAUUCAAGUAAAACAAAGCAAGGACUGAGUAUAUAAAAUCAUAAUCAUAACAAAUUUUGACUAUUAUAUGUAACAGCCAAUCUCUUAACUGGGUCAUAAUAAGAAAGUGAAAGGCAGAAAAAAUGACAAAAAGAAUAAUUAGAAUGUUAAUAAGAAGAGUAACAAGAUUUUGAAAAAUUUGUGCUGGUUGAUAUCAACUUUUGGCACUUUUCUCUUUUUCUAUACUGUUAACAUAAUUAAUGAAAAAAUAAUAAUUCAUACUUCAAAAAAUUUAAGAAGUUGCACAUAUUUUCAUUUGAAAUAGUAUAAGCAUUUUACAAAUGUUAUUUUAAGCUUUAAAAAGUGAGUAAAAUUAAUAACCAAAUGGUGGAAGCAACCCAAGUAUCCAUCAAUAGAUGAAUGAAUAAACGAAAGGUAGUAUGUUUAUACAAUGGAAUAUUAU